AGUACUCGAGUGGCGAACGGGUGAGUAACACGUGGGUAAUCUGCCCUGCACUCUGGGAUAAGCCUGGGUAACUGGGUCUAAUACUGGAUAUGACCUUUCUCCUUAUGGGGUUUGGUGGAAAGUUUUUCGGUGUAGGAUGAGCCCGCGGCCUAUCAGCUUGUUGGUGGGGUGAUGGCCUACCAAGGCGACGACGGGUAGCCGGCCUGAGAGGGUGAUCGGCCACAUUGGGACUGAGAUACGGCCCAG
RNAcentral lists this ribosomal RNA (246 nucleotides) under uncultured Actinomycetales bacterium. RNAcentral's name for it is "partial 16S ribosomal RNA". It matches the Rfam family "Bacterial small subunit ribosomal RNA", at positions 86 to 334 of the family's 1533-position model. Lineage: Bacteria; Bacillati; Actinomycetota; Actinomycetes; Actinomycetales. The record is from RNAcentral.